GGCACAAAUCUGAAGUAGGGUAGAUUUGUAAGGACAGCUGAUCUUACUAUUCCACUGUACUUCAAAACUGUGCAC
Molecule: microRNA precursor, 75 nt
Filed under: Haemonchus placei
Lineage: Eukaryota; Metazoa; Nematoda; Chromadorea; Rhabditida; Trichostrongylidae
Description: mir-5928 microRNA precursor family
Rfam family: mir-5928 microRNA precursor family
Source: Rfam by way of RNAcentral